This 580-nucleotide ribosomal RNA is filed under the name uncultured fungus. Its description in RNAcentral is "eukaryotic LSU rRNA". It matches the Rfam family "Eukaryotic large subunit ribosomal RNA", at positions 40 to 647 of the family's 3401-position model. Lineage: Eukaryota; Fungi. The record is from RNAcentral.
AUAUCAAUAAGCGGAGGAAAAGAAACCAACAGGGAUUGCCCUAGUAACGGCGAGUGAAGCGGCAACAGCUCAAAUUUGAAAUCCGGCUUCGGCCCGAGUUGUAAUUUGUAGAGGAAGCUUUUGGUGCGGCACCUACCGAGUCCCCUGGAACGGGGCGCCAUAGAGGGUGAGAGCCCCGUAUGGUAGGACGCCAAUCCUCUGUAAAGCUCCUUCGACGAGUCGAGUAGUUUGGGAAUGCUGCUCUAAAUGGGAGGUAAAUUUCUUCUAAAGCUAAAUAUUGGCCAGAGACCGAUAGCGCACAAGUAGAGUGAUCGAAAGAUGAAAAGCACUUUGAAAAGAGGGUUAAACAGCACGUGAAAUUGUUGAAAGGGAAGCGCUUGUGACCAGACUUGCGCCGGGCUGAUCAUCCGGAGUUCUCUCCGGUGCACUCUGCCCGGCUCAGGCCAGCAUCGGUUCUCGCGGGGGGAUAAAGGCCCUGGGAACGUAGCUCCUCCGGGAGUGUUAUAGCCCAGGGUGCAAUGCCCUCGCGGGGACCGAGGAUCGCGCUCUGCAAGGAUGCUGGCGUAAUGGUCAUCAGCGA